RNAcentral lists this long non-coding RNA (632 nucleotides) under Elaeis guineensis (African oil palm). RNAcentral's name for it is "long non-coding RNA (EGUI_LNC029655)". Lineage: Eukaryota; Viridiplantae; Streptophyta; Magnoliopsida; Arecales; Arecaceae. The record is from RNAcentral.
AUUUGUUUUUAACUAAUUUCGUCCGCAGGCAAAGCAAAUGGAAUCACCUCCCAGACCAAAGUUGCACUAAUCCACGCUAUCCAGUCAAUGGACCUCCGCCAAACCAUCUACCCCACAUCACAGACGGUACCAUCAAUCAUACGGCUCAGAUGGAAAGAAGCUUCCCGGCAGUCACCAUCGCUAUCAAAGCGAUAGCACUCACCACCAUUGUUAUUACGCUCCCAUCCAUUCAUUUCAAGAUAAAUUUUUCUGCAGAGAGAGAGGCAUGAAGAAGUGCAGCUGUUCAAAAAACGGCGCAUAAUAUAUAAAAUUUUAAAUUAAUAAAAAAUAAUAGUAUAGACUAUAUGAGAUCAGAUAAUGAACUUUGCUCACGAUCAAACAUGACGCGUCAUUACUUUGGCCAAUCACAGAAAAAGAGAUACGUUUGGAUCUCGGUAACUCGGUGGUCCCACGCUCGCUGGCUCCAGCUGGUUGGCUCCGCAAGCUUUGCUCGUCCGAUCAGCGCACCCUAUCGUACCACAGAACUGGAUCCUCUGUUGCCCACGAUCCAUGGUAAAAAGAAAAUUAUCCACUUGAAAAUUCGACACGUGUACACUGAGGACAUCAAGGCACGUAAAUUAUGGGGCCCACGC